RNAcentral lists this ribosomal RNA (481 nucleotides) under uncultured bacterium. Its description in RNAcentral is "partial 16S ribosomal RNA". It matches the Rfam family "Bacterial small subunit ribosomal RNA", at positions 28 to 507 of the family's 1533-position model. The record is from RNAcentral.
GAUGAACGCUGGCGGCGUGCUUAACACAUGCAAGUCGAACGAAGCAUUUAAGACAGAUUACUUCGGUUUGAGGUCUUUUAUGACUGAGUGGCGGACGGGUGAGUAACGCGUGGGUAACCUGCCUCAUACAGGGGGAUAGCAGCUGGAAACGGCUGGUAAUACCGCAUAAGCGCACAGUACCACAUGGUACAGUGUGAAAAACUCCGGUGGUAUGAGAUGGACCCGCGUCUGAUUAGCUUGUUGGCGGGGUAACGGCCCACCAAGGCGACGAUCAGUAGCCGACCUGAGAGGGUGACCGGCCACAUUGGGACUGAGACACGGCCCAGACUCCUACGGGAGGCAGCAGUGGGGAAUAUUGCACAAUGGAGGAAACUCUUAUGCAGCGACGCCGCGUGAGUGAAGAAGUAGUUCGCUAUGUAAAGCUCUAUCAGCAGGGAAGAUAGUGACGGUACCUGACUAAGAAGCUCCGGCUAAAUACGUG